This 801-nucleotide ribosomal RNA is filed under the name uncultured bacterium. RNAcentral's name for it is "bacterial SSU rRNA". It matches the Rfam family "Bacterial small subunit ribosomal RNA", at positions 75 to 882 of the family's 1533-position model. The record is from RNAcentral.
CGAACCACUUCGGUGGUGAGCGGCGAACGGGUGAGUAACACGUAGGUGAUCUGCCCAUCAGACGGGGACAACGAUUGGAAACGAUCGCUAAUACCGGAUAGGACGAAAGUUUAAAGGUGCUUCUGGCACCGCUGAUGGAUGAGCCUGCGGCGCAUUAGCUAGUUGGUAGGGUAAAGGCCUACCAAGGCGACGAUGCGUAGCCGACCUGAGAGGGUGAACGGCCACACUGGGACUGAGACACGGCCCAGACUCCUACGGGAGGCAGCAGUAGGGAAUCUUCGGCAAUGGGCGAAAGCCUGACCGAGCAACGCCGCGUGAAUGAUGAAGGCCUUCGGGUUGUAAAAUUCUGUUAUAAGGGAAGAACGACUUUAGUAGGAAAUGGCUAGAGUGUGACGGUACCUUAUGAGAAAGCCACGGCUAACUACGUGCCAGCAGCCGCGGUAAUACGUAGGUGGCGAGCGUUAUCCGGAAUUAUUGGGCGUAAAGAGCGCGCAGGUGGUUGAUUAAGUCUGAUGUGAAAGCCCACGGCUUAACCGUGGAGGGUCAUUGGAAACUGGUCGACUUGAGUGCAGAAGAGGGAAGUGGAAUUCCAUGUGUAGCGGUGAAAUGCGUAGAGAUAUGGAGGAACACCAGUGGCGAAGGCGGCUUCCUGGUCUGUAACUGACACUGAGGCGCGAAAGCGUGGGGGAGCAAACAGGAUUAGAUACCCUGGUAGUCCACGCCGUAAACGAUGAGUGCUAAGUGUUGGGGGUCGAACCUCAGUGCUGAAGUUAACGCAUUAAGCACUCCGCCUGGGGAGUA